AUUGAACGCUGGCGGCAGGCCUAACACAUGCAAGUCGAGCGGAGCGGCGGACGGGUGAGUAAUGACUAGGAAUCUGCCUGGUAGUGGGGGAUAACGUCCGGAAACGGGAGCUAAUACCACAUACUAUUAGAUGAGCCUAGGUGUGAUUAGCUAGUUGGUGGGGUAAAGGCCUACCAAGGCGACGACCCGUAACUGGUCUGAGAGGAUGAUCAGUCACACUGGAACUGAGACACGGUCCAGACUCCUACGGGAGGCAGCAGUGGGGAAUAUUGGACAAUGGGCGAAAGCCUGAUCCAGCCAUGCCGCGUGUGUGAAGAAGGUCUUCGGAUUGUAAAGCACUUUAAGUUAGGAGGCGUUACCAACAGAAUAAGCACCGGCUAACUUCGUGCCAGCAGCCGCGGUAAUUC
This 407-nucleotide ribosomal RNA is filed under the name uncultured bacterium. RNAcentral describes it as "partial 16S ribosomal RNA". It matches the Rfam family "Bacterial small subunit ribosomal RNA", at positions 30 to 526 of the family's 1533-position model. The record is from RNAcentral.